RNAcentral lists this transfer RNA (82 nucleotides) under uncultured Brevinema sp. It matches the Rfam family "tRNA". Rfam says of the family: Transfer RNA (tRNA) molecules are approximately 80 nucleotides in length. Their secondary structure includes four short double-helical elements and three loops (D, anti-codon, and T loops). Lineage: Bacteria; Pseudomonadati; Spirochaetota; Spirochaetia; Brevinematales; Brevinemataceae. The record is from RNAcentral.
GAGAGAUGGCUGAGUGGUCGAUAGCGGUAGUCUUGAAAACUAUUGUACAGUGAUGUACCGGGGGUUCGAAUCCCUCUCUCUU